RNAcentral lists this ribosomal RNA (465 nucleotides) under uncultured Klebsiella sp. Its description in RNAcentral is "bacterial SSU rRNA". It matches the Rfam family "Bacterial small subunit ribosomal RNA", at positions 338 to 795 of the family's 1533-position model. The record is from RNAcentral. Lineage: Bacteria; Pseudomonadati; Pseudomonadota; Gammaproteobacteria; Enterobacterales; Enterobacteriaceae.
CCUACGGGCGGCUGCAGUGGGGAAUAUUGCACAAUGGGCGCAAGCCUGAUGCAGCCAUGCCGCGUGUGUGAAGAAGGCCUUCGGGUUGUAAAGCACUUUCAGCGGGGAGGAAGGCGUUAAGGUUAAUAACCUUGGCGAUUGACGUUACCCGCAGAAGAAGCACCGGCUAACUCCGUGCCAGCAGCCGCGGUAAUACGGAGGGUGCAAGCGUUAAUCGGAAUUACUGGGCGUAAAGCGCACGCAGGCGGUCUGUCAAGUCGGAUGUGAAAUCCCCGGGCUCAACCUGGGAACUGCAUUCGAAACUGGCAGGCUAGAGUCUUGUAGAGAGGGGUAGAAUUCCAGGUGUAGCGGUGAAAUGCGUAGAGAUCUGGAGGAAUACCGGUGGCGAAGGCGGCCCCCUGGACAAAGACUGACGCUCAGGUGCGAAAGCGUGGGGAGCAAACAGGAUUAGAUACCCCGGUAGUC